AUUGAACGCUGGCGGCAGGCCUAACACAUGCAAGUCGAACGGUAACAGAAAGCAGCUUGCUGCUUUGCUGACGAGUGGCGGACGGGUGAGUAAUGUCUGGGAAACUGCCUGAUGGAGGGGGAUAACUACUGGAAACGGUAGCUAAUACCGCAUAACGUCGCAAGACCAAAGAGGGGGACCUUCGGGCCUCUUGCCAUCGGAUGUGCCCAGAUGGGAUUAGCUAGUAGGUGGGGUAAAGGCUCACCUAGGCGACGAUCCCUAGCGGGUCUGAGAGGAUGACCCGCCACACUGGAACUGAGACACGGUCCAGACUCCUACGGGAGGCAGCAGUGGGGAAUAUUGCACAAUGGGCGCAAGCCUGAUGCAGCCAUGCCGCGUGUGUGAAGCAGGCCUUCGGGUUGUAAAGUACUUUCAGCGGGGAGGAAGGGAGUAAAGUUAAUACCUUUGCUCAUUGACGUUACCCGCAGAAGAAGCACCGGCUAACUCCGU
This 489-nucleotide ribosomal RNA is filed under the name uncultured bacterium. RNAcentral describes it as "partial 16S ribosomal RNA". It matches the Rfam family "Bacterial small subunit ribosomal RNA", at positions 30 to 506 of the family's 1533-position model. The record is from RNAcentral.